Molecule: transfer RNA, 74 nt
Filed under: Chloroflexi bacterium 13_1_40CM_2_70_6
Lineage: Bacteria; Bacillati; Chloroflexota
Also listed under: 2 other names
Description: tRNA-Pro
Rfam family: tRNA
About the family: Transfer RNA (tRNA) molecules are approximately 80 nucleotides in length.
Source: RNAcentral
CGGGGUGUGGCGCAGCCCGGUAGCGCGCGUGAUCUGGGAUCACGAAGUCGAGAGUUCAAAUCUCUCCACCCCGA